CAGUCGACGGAGCACCCUUGACUGAGGUUUCGGCCAAAUGAUAGGAAUGCUUAGUGGCGGACUGGUGAGUAACGCGUGAGGAACCUGCCUUCCAGAGGGGGACAACAGUUGGAAACGACUGCUAAUACCGCAUGACGCAUGACCGGGGCAUCCCGGGCAUGUCAAAGAUUUUAUCGCUGGAAGAUGGCCUCGCGUCUGAUUAGCUAGAUGGUGGGGUAACGGCCCACCAUGGCGACGAUCAGUAGCCGGACUGAGAGGUUGACCGGCCACAUUGGGACUGAGAUACGGCCCAGACUCCUACGGGAGGCAGCAGUGGGGAAUAUUGGGCAAUGGACGCAAGUCUGACCCAGCAACGCCGCGUGAAGGAAGAAGGCUUUCGGGUUGUAAACUUCUUUUGUCAGGGAAGAGUAGAAGACGGUACCUGACGAAUAAGCCACGGCUAACUACGUGCCAGCAGCCGCGGUAAUACGUAGGUGGCAAGCGUUGUCCGGAUUUACUGGGUGUAAAGGGCGUGCAGCCGGGCCGGCAAGUCAGAUGUGAAAUCUGGAGGCUUAACCUCCAAACUGCAUUUGAAACUGUAGGUCUUGAGUACCGGAGAGGUUAUCGGAAUUCCUUGUGUAGCGGUGAAAUGCGUAGAUAUAAGGAAGAACACCAGUGGCGAAGGCGGAUAACUGGACGGCAACU
Molecule: ribosomal RNA, 684 nt
Filed under: uncultured bacterium
Lineage: Bacteria
Description: bacterial SSU rRNA
Rfam family: Bacterial small subunit ribosomal RNA
Source: RNAcentral